AUGAAGGCAAAUGAAGUCUCCCUUGCCUCCGCAUCAUCAAAUGAUGUCGUGCAUCAAUGGAGCUUGGUGUGGUGGAAAUCUCCGGAAAUGGAAAGGUUCUUCUUUCUAAGGUUUGUAGAGUCGUUGCAAAUUUCGGGACGCAACAUUUUUCCCAUGGAUGGCGUUCACAUCUGGUGGUAUUGGACAUUCUGACACACACAAAAACAACAUACAUACCUUAUUUAUUUCAGUCAUCUUUGACAUUGGUUGGGCUUGAAUUCAUCAUGGGCCAAAUUGUAGUUUCAUGAGUUUUUUAAUUGAUUGGACCUGACGUGGUUUAAAUUUCUUUAAGGUUGGCUGAAUACCUUUCAUGAGUUUUGACCCAAUGAGUUGAAACAUAAGAGCAACUCCACCAGUUGCCCCUUGCCAUGGCAAGAUUAGCCCUAGGGCAGCCACUAUUCACGUGAAUAGUGGCUGCCCUAGUGCCCUCCAACAAAAUGUGUUUCCAGCAGUUAGGGGCUUGCCAUGGCAAUUACUAUUCAUUUUUUUGUUUUUUUCACAAUUUUGUUUACUUAAAUAAUUAAUUUGGAUAAUAUUUUCGGAUAAGAUUUUUGGGUUCCUCCGUGUCAAUACUAUUCAUAUCGGAUAAGAUUUUCGGUUUCAAAUUUCAGAUAAAUUUCAGAUAAAUUUCAAAUUUCAGAUACAUUUCAAAAUUCAAAUUUCAGAUAAAUUCAAAAUGUCAAAUUUCAGAUACAUUUCGGAAUUCAAAUUUUAGAUAAAUUUGAAAUUUGAAAUUUCAUUUUAAUUUCAAAUUUCAGAUAAGAUUUUCACCCUCUAAGAUUGCGCCGCGUGUCAUAUCUAUAUGUGUACAUUUUUCUAUAAAAUCAGAGGUUCAGCUCAUACCUCCCACACCAAUUCUUCUCUACAUUUCCAUUUCUCAAAUUUUAGAUUUCAUUCUCCAUUCUCAAUGGCAGACAUGGAAGAGAUUUUGGAGAGGCAAGAGAGAGAAACUAGAGAGAGAAUGCGUAGACGAGCUGCAAGCAAAAGGGCGCAGAGAGAACUAGAUGAGCAACUUGGCAUAGCAGUUGCUUUGCUGGAGGAAGAAAACCAGGGUUGCCGUAGUUCACGAGAAGGCCGUCGCCCAAAUGUGGACAGACAUAGACAUUCUCGGGGUAAGAAUCUUAUGGAAGAUUAUUUUAUCCCACAAUCUCUGUACUCUGAUGUUCAUUUUCGAGGGAGAUAUAGAAUGCAACCUCAUUUGUUCAAAAAAAAUCAUGCAUGAUAUUUGCAAUUAUGAUGAAUAUUUUGUUCAAAAGAGAAAUUGUGUUGGAAAUUUGGGACUUCUUCCAGAGCAGAAGUUCACAGCUGUGAUACGAAUGUUGGCGUAUGGGUCAUCUGCUGAUCAGGUGGAUGAGAUUGCUUGGAUGGGGAAGUCCACUGUUUUGGAGAGCUUGGUGCGAUUUUGUGAUGCAGUGGAAACUCUGUACACCAGAGACUACCUCCGCAGACCUAAGCCCAGGGACCUGCAAAGGCUUCUCCAAAAAGCUGAGUCUCGAGGAUUCCCUGGCAUGAUUGGUAGCAUUGACUGCAUGCACCGGCAGUGGAAAAAUUGUCCAACAGCUUGGCAAGGGGACUACGGAAACAGAAAAGGGCAGAAAAGUAUCAUCCUGGAAGCAGUUGCUGGUUUUGAUACAUGGGUUUGGCACGCCUUCUUCGGAGUUGCCGGAUCUCAAAACGAUUUGAAUGUCCUAGGUCAAUCCCGGUGUUCAAUGAUGUUUUGAGAGGUGAAGCCCCAAAUAUCACAUAUGAAAUUAACAAUACCAUCUACCAGACCAGGUAUUAUCUAGCUGAUGGCAUAUACCCGAGGUGGACAACAUUUGUGAAAACAAUUCCACAUCCCCGAUCCCAUAAGCAAAAAUUUUUUGCUCGCUAUCAAGAGGGGGACAGAAAAGAUGUUGAGAGGUGUUUUGGUAUCCUCCAAGCUAGGUGGGCUAUUAUCAGGGGCGCGGCACGUCUAUUUGACGGGGAGGUGCUUAGGAGUAUAAUGAUGACUUGUAUCAUCCUCCACAACAUGAUUGUGGAAGAUGAAUAUGAUUACGAUGCUGAUGACGUGUAUGAACCAAAUCCCAUGGACACGGCCCUAACACGAAUUUAUGAAAAACCAGUGGGGCCAAAUGGAGAAGCAAUGCAGCAUGAACCGUUGGUUAGAGGCGGUAGUUUCAUGCCCCGUAUGAUUGAUCGCUACACGGAGAUGCAAUCGUCCUAUAUUCAUGAACACCGUCAAGUUGACUUGAUGGAGCAUUUAUGGGCGGUGAAAGGCAAUGAAGGAAAUGAAGGUGAAUAAAGUGAAGUGAAGAAGUUGUUUUUAUUUUAUUAUGCUUUGGUUGUGGGUUGUUUAUUUUUUAUGCUUUGGUUGUGGUUUGUUUUAUUUUAUUAUGCUUUGGUUGUGGGUUGUUUUUUUUUAUGCUUUGGUUGUGGUUUGUUUUAUUUUUUAUGCUUUGGUUGUGGUUUGUUUUAUUUUUUAUGCUUUGGUUGUGGUUUGUUUUUUAUGUAUGGAAUGUUUUGAAUAAAAAGGAUUUUUGUUGAAUAUUUUCUUUAUUGACUAAAAGAAAAGCAAUACAACUAAUAAAAUAAAAUACAUGAAUUAAACAAAACAAAAAAUACAAUGAAAUCAAAGGUACAUGAAUUAAACAAAAAAAAAAUACAAUGAAAUCAAAGGCAAGUAAACUAAGACAUUAAAGGCAAACAAACUAUUUUAAUGGUUUCCAUCAUUUAACCAAUCGGUGUUGCUAGGUCCAUCGUCACGAAAAAGUCUUCGUCUCAUAACAUCCCUUCGUUCUAGCUUCCAAAAUUGUUUUGUUUCGGGAGACAUAUGGCUUGUAUCCAUGGCCAUGGUUUCCCGAUCUUUUUUUUCAAUGUUUUGUUCGCGUGCAUACUCCCUUUCUUUGCGUGCAUACUCCCUUUCUUUUGCAUAUUCUGCUUGAACUGCCAUAUCGUGCUCUUGUUGUUUCAAGUCCAUUUCAAUUCUCAUGGCUUGGUGCUUUGAAAGUUCCUCCAAAAAUUGAGAUGCAUUCUUGCUAGAAUUACUCCCUCUCUUCGCCUUCGCCGCCUUCCUCCCAAUAGGCCUUGGAAUAUUUUCAAUGGGUGAGUCGGUACUCAUCGGAGAAUCCAUAGGUGAAUCCGAUGCCGGCGUCUCAUGAAGUGGAGUCUCGUUCAAGACUACCGUCGGACCGGUUGGAAUAAUUUGGAAUCUCUUACAAGUCUUCACCACCUCCCAACAAUGGGUAUGGUUGAAACUUUUUUUCCCUUGGCCGGUAGCACCAAACCACAUUUGUGCUUGUAUAAUCUAUAAAAAAAAAAUGAAAUGGAAAUACAAGAGAAUUUUUAAAAUAUUGGCAAUGCAACAUGUACAAAAAAAAACUAAUGGAAAUUAAAGAAAUAAUAAAAAAAAUGCAACAUGUAUUAACAAAAAAUAGAGACAUAUUAACAAAAUAUAUAAAUUGCAAGAAACAUUUAAAUAAAAAUUAAUAUGACAUAGAAAUUAAUAGAAGAAAAAUGACAAAUAAUUUACCUCAUUGCUAAGAUUUUCUCCGCUUAGUUGGUUGUCAAUCGCUUUUGCUAAAGCAUUUCUCCAUUUCCCCAACUCUUUAUUAAGAACUUUCCACCUACUGGAUAAUGCCAUUUCUGUACGUGUAGAACCAAUUGCCCUUUCACAAAAUGCUUGAUGAAUUUUUUUUCCACAUAUGAGAAAAUUUAAUCUCAUUGCCCGUUACUGGACAAUGACUAACUUGGACCCAAGCCUCACACAAGCUAACAUCUUCCAUCAUGCUCCAUGCCCCUCCAUUUUCAUUAGAAGAACCCAUAAUAUGCUAGAAAAAAAAUUACAACUUCAAAGUGAAAAAAUAUUGAAUAGAAAGUGAAAAAAAUUUGAGGAGAAAGUGAAUAAUAGUAGAAGGAGAAGAAAAUAUAUGAGGAUUACACAGUUGCCCGGGCUGGACUUUUGCUGCUGGAAUCGUUUUUUGCCCCAAACCCCACCCAGCCCGAGUCCAAAACCUGCUGCUGGACUUGCUCUAAUAGGAAUGAAACUUUAUUCCAAGUAUCAAAAUAGUCAAUGUUAGUCAGCGUGGUUUGCUUGGAUUUGACCCAGAUUCUUGGUUUUUCUGAACAGGAAAUAAGCCAGGUUUUGUAAAUUUGCAUUCCACGAUAUCCAAGCUGCCAAGGUGUGUUCACUCCUAUCAAGUUAGGUCAAGACCCUUUGUGUAA
Molecule: long non-coding RNA, 4242 nt
Filed under: Prunus dulcis (almond)
Lineage: Eukaryota; Viridiplantae; Streptophyta; Magnoliopsida; Rosales; Rosaceae
Description: sRNA ncRNA
Source: RNAcentral